Molecule: long non-coding RNA, 533 nt
Filed under: Papio anubis (olive baboon)
Lineage: Eukaryota; Metazoa; Chordata; Mammalia; Primates; Cercopithecidae
Description: lncRNA (ENSPANG00000037354.1)
Source: RNAcentral
AUUAAUUCUGCACAUUAAAAGCAUAUUCAGAUCAACAGAAUGGCCAUCUACCCUGGAAUCCCAGGAUCUUCACAUCCUAUAAGUGAGAGAGUUUUGAGCAUGUUUGUCAGCAGGUGAAAAGAAGUUCACAUGGAAGACACUAAGAAAGAUAUAGCUAAUGGCACAAGAUCCCAGAGGAAUGGGAUCAGAAGCUCUGACAGAAAUCAUAGUCCUCUAUUAGAAUGGAGACAUGGGGCUGGAAGAAAGGAGUUCUGGAGGCUGGUAGUUCAAGAUCACGGUGCCAGUGCAGUUGGGUUCUGGUGAAGAAUUUCCUCCUGGCUUGUGGAAGGUGCCUUCUUGCUAUGUCCUCACAGAGGGGAAGAUCAGAGAACUGCAGCAUCACAGUAAAGGCAAGUAAGGGCAAGCAGCCAUUUGUAAAACUUGUUGACAUGAUUUUUUUUGCCUCUUGUAGAAAUACAUUGAGAAAACACACUUCUUUAAAUCCAUACUUUGAGAAAGUUCAUAAACAAAAGCCAAGAACUACCUGUGAUUAG